CUUAUUGCUUUCUCUUCCCGAUUUUUAAAGAUUUUAUUUUGUAAAGUAUACUUUUCCUUUACAUUAUCAAAGAAGAAUUACUUGAUACAAACAGAAGAAAAUCUUGAUACAUAAAAUCGUCCAUUAAAAUUCAAUAACAAGUUUCAAUCAACAAACAUUAUCCUUUUGAUCUCGAUAUCGCGUUACACGUAUAAAGUAAAUAAACAGAGAUCGCCUUAUAAACUCUCCCUAUUAAACAUCUAAUAAUCAAGCAAUCGAAGCGGAAACACGCGAAAAUUAUAAAAACAAGAGAAUGAGUCUAUGCAGAGGGGAAACGGCUCACGCAACCCCGACAAAUAGAGGGAAUUAAAAGUAAUCACGCGCAUAUUUACGCGGCCGAUGAACAGAAUGGUUGCGUCAACCGCAAAAAUGUAACUGCACGCGAGCGCAGGUGUAUGCGUUCGAUUGUCGAGUGUGCAACGAGAGGGUGGUGUAGACCAGGAAGGGGAGGAAAGGGAUGGAACAACACACGCGGAUGAAAAUGGUCUCUCCACUGGUUCUGAUAUGGCUCGUACAUUGGAAUCGCUUGGAUAUGGGUGGAGUGAAACCGGAUGUGGGAGCGGGAAAUAGAAGGGAAGAGAAAAUACGAGGGUAGGUGGAAAUGUGUAGAAAUAAGAUUGUGUGAACGAAGGGAUGAAUUGUUGAUGAAAAUUGAUGAGUAAGUAAAAAGGAAAAAAAGAGAAAUAUAUAAUAUUUCUUCAUACAUUUAUAGGUUAUUUGAAACUUGAAGAAACUUUUGACACAAGAUAGUAUGAUCAUGAUAAUUUGAAUUUAAUUGAAAUAUAAAGAUUAAUUUUGUACGUUUAAAUUCAUUUCUAUGAGAAUUUAUAGUGUAGAUAUAGUUUGUUAUUGAGAAUGCUUAAUUGAAAGAUAUAACGAAAAUAUAACUCAACAUGUCGUCUAGUAGCGUCUACUUUAUCGUUAUCAAAUGUUCUUGUGUAAAGUGACAAAUGGCCUCUGAAAAAGCUAACCGUAAUAUCUUAACCUUAAAAUAGAAUUCUUAAAAAAUUCACAGGAAGCUCUAAACAAUAACAAAUUUCAAAAUAAACUAGAUCGUAAAAAUCUCUAUCAAAUUUACGAUACGAGGUUGUUGCCGAUGAAUUAAACGAAGGCUGUAUGGUUAAGAGUCAAACAAAAUCGUGGAUUUACGCGGAGAUGACGCCUAUCAUGGAAACGACAAUGAACCUUUGGUAGUUUUCACGAGCGCAGGGGAUAAGCGAAGCCUCGUAAAUUAGCCACGCCGCAUCAAGCCCGAUAAUUAAGGCGAAGCGCCGUUAAAGACGCCGGGGCCACGCUGUUUCGGAACUUGGCCAUCAUCCAACGAAAGAGAGACGUGUGUGCCAGGAACACGUGCGUGAAGUUGCCUCACCCGUGAAUCACGAGCUCGAAGCGGAUCCGCGCCGAUGAAUUUCUGGAGCGGGCCGCGCGUGUAUCCGAUGAAAUCGUACGUGGCAAGUGUUGUGUGCGUCUUGGAAACGCCGGAGCUCGAGAAUAAUUCCCUCUCGUUACCGAGAAAUCAUUAAGUUCUGUUCGUGAAACGCCGGUUUGAUGAUUUGAGGACCCUUGCAAUUAGUUUGUUUGGAUAUUUAUGGUUCUACUCGUCAUGUUUCGUGAAGUUUUCCAUGAAAAAGGAGUUAGUGCCAUCUAUCGUGUGAAAUAAUAUAUACUUAUAAUAUGAUUCGUAUCAUAAUGUAAGGAAAGAAGAUGAAAAAACAUGCACUGUACAAUGAAACCUAAUCUCCAAAUUGAUUCAUGCCAUCUAUCAUAUCAAAUAGCAAUAUACUUAUAAUAUAACUCAUAUCAUAAUGUAAGAAAAGAAGAUAAAGAAAUACAUACUGUACAGUGAAACUUUCAUAAAAUGAAACCUAACCUACAAAUUGAUUCAUGCUAUAUUAUCAAAUGGCAUUAUAUACUUGUAAUAUAACUCAUUAUUAUAAAAUAAAAAAGAAAGUACCAUCUAUCUAACCAAAUACCAAUUAUAUAUUCAUUAUCAUCAUAUUCCCGCAAAAUUUGCAGUAUACUCGUGAAAUUUAACAUGUAUCUCGAACCGUGCCAGAUUUAAUUCCCAAAAGAAACCAACAAUCAGAUUGAAACGCAAAAUCAGUUGAAUUAUUGUCAUUGAUAAAUACAUAUAGAAGCUUCUAUCGUAUUUCACGUAACAUCGUUGGAAUGGAAGUUGACCGAGAGAUUUUAUCUUCUACUUCAUAAAACGAGGCGGAUUUCGAUCUUCUUGUAAGCGCGCAUUUGUAUAGGCUGAUCUACCCAAUUGGAACCACUUGGCUGACGUUUGUGAAGUUGCCAAGAGGGAUUCUCUGGCAUUGGACGAGCGAAAAAAAGGAAAUAAAUGCCGGAAAAUAAAAUUAAAAAAACGUGUAUCAAGUGGAAAAUGCGUGUUUAUCUUUGAAUUUAUUUUUUUUAUAUAUAUUUUUUUUAAGUUAUAUUAAUUGAAAAAUCUUAUGAAAGAGGAAGUAUUAUAUUCAUUACAGAUUAUUAUUUUUUUCAAAUAAUAUAAUUUUAAGUAGUUUAAUAAAAUAUAUAUUGUAUGUUCUUAAAGGAUUUUCGUUAUAAAAAUUUAUUAUCAAAAUUAAUCACCAGAAGAUUACAGGCUGGAUAAAUUGGCAGCUUCGUUCGUUUCGAUUUAAUAGCACCAGAUUUUUUCUUUGAGAGAAGAAAAGCAAAAAUAGAACGGAUAUAUCCAUCUGGAAGAAAGCAAAAUAAAAUCGGCUUAAAGACCACUCUUAAUAAUUCAACGUAAAGGAAGAUUCUGCCAAGGUGUCUGACCAGACACGUCUUCCUCUACUUGAACAUCAGAAAAACUAUCUCUUAUUCAAAGAUUAACACCUUGUGUCCCAAUGGGAAAAAAGAAACGAUAAAUAGUCGGAAGAAGCCUAGAUAAGAGUUCUUCAAAUGAAAAGCUAGAAUUCUAGAUCAAAAGAAGACCAAGUUUAAUUCUUUGAUUUAGUGGAUCUUGCAGAGUUUGAACAUACAGUCAUUCACAUUAAUACUUUAACACCAUUAUCAUUUUGAAUUUUAUCAUCACAAUAUUAAUAUGACAAAAUGGUAGAUAACAAUAAUCUCAAAAAUAUAUAUAUGAUAACACAUCUCACAAAAAAUGGCAAUAUAGUUAUGAAUGGGGAAAAUAAAAAGAAUAACGUAAUAAAAUAAAAAGUAAAACAUAGAGAUGGUGCCAUAUUAUAGUUUAACGCCAUUAAUAAGAAUUUUAGACAGCCAUGAAUGAAAGAAAAUAGUUGAAGAACUCCAGACAAGAAAAGCCAAGGAUGUAUCGCGGUUUAUCUCAUUCACGGUAAAAUUUAAAUCUAACCGAGGAGUCUGAGGAGUUUCAUCCUUCGUCGAGAGAGCUGUCCUCGCGUAGGAGGUCCGCAAGGUGAGCAGAUUGUCGGUUGGCUAUCGGAAAUAUUUCCCGGCUCCGAGAAUUUAUCGGGCGUCUGCCCGGAAAUAUUUGAAAAUUCCUUCGACGCUCGCUGCGAAAACGGCGACCAUAGAGAACAGAGCCGUUGGAAGAGGUGUGUGGGUGGAUAUGGAGGGGAGGCAUCUGGAUCUAGGAUAUUUUUCACACCUUAAUUAGUACAGAUAGAUUGAAAACAGUAAAAUGUUAGAAAACGUAAAUUUGAUUUUGUGAAAAUUUCUGGAUUGUUUUUAAUUGAGAUUCUUGGAUAAGAUUUGAUUGUAAUAUUAUGAUUGUGUAAUGGAGAAUGAAUAAUUAUUAAUAUAUGGAGAAAAAAAAGAAAAGAACAACUAAAAGAAGAAAAAAGCUAUGAUUGAUCAAACUAGUGACGUGAGUGAGAAUGAAGAGAAACGAGAGAGACUCGAUAGCCCUGAGAGGACAUACCACUCUCGGUAAUAUAAGGUGGCGGAAUAGAUUACGACCCUUCACCCUCGAUAGUACUUCUCUGCUCUGUUGGGGACGGUCGCCGCCCUUAUUGCGAAAGACCACGAGUUUAUUGCGAACGACUGUGCGCCUCGUUCACCACCUACCCGAUUUAUGGGGAUAUAUAAGCGCAUACCACCGACAAAUUUCCCCAUAAUAACGUGGACCCACCAUAAUGUCCUUUCAUCAACACUUUUCUCGAUUUUACUUGUGGACGUUCAGUUAUCCAAAAAUAGAACGUUUCCAUGAUCGUAAUUGCGUAUCGUUUUCAAAGGAUUCCCGAUAGAUUGUAGAUCCAAGGUGGUGAUGAUUACUGUAACUGUAAACUGUUUUAUACCAUGGAUUAUGAAGUUGAAAGAUAUGUUUAGUUUUCCAGUUUAAUUUGUUUCAUGAAGAGAAGAGUCUAUUUUAGAAUUAUUGAAUAACGUGAUAUUUGGUGAGAUUUUUACUGAUGACAAAUUAAAAUGUACUAAUAAACUUUCAAAGAUUUGAGUAGAGCUGCAAAUUAAGAUACAAGAAAAAGAAAACAACUAUUUAAAAUUUUAUUUAAUUGCCGAAUAUUUUAUUUAACUUACUUUCAUUCGACCAUUUUCUACGCCGAAAAUGAAAAGUUAUUACCUGCUUUUUUAAUACGAACCAGUGCGUGCUUUCAAAUAUGUACACUCAGAAAUGUUGGAUGAAAAACUUGCAACCGUGUUCAUUUCAUCAGAACAGUAUGCCAAAAAGAAUGUUACACAACAUGAGAACGAACACAACCUGAAAGCAAGAUUACACGAAGCACGUGUUUAUUCGUAUUUUUUUCCUCGUAUUCAUAUAUAUAUACGUAACAAUCGUUUGGAUAGAAUUUACAUUAUAAAGUUGACAAUUAACCGAUCUGAUUAAUUUGCAUUUUCCUUGGAACAAGGUUGAAUCGAUAGAAUGGCGACUGUUCGAUUCUUUUCGUAGCGGAAUCGUCAUUGAAAGUACACACGAACGAGGUCGGAGAUUGCUUCGUAAAUUCUUUUAAUACUCGACCUUCUGUUCGGUAAAAGGGCGGCCGAGAAGGGGUGACUUUACGGAUCAAGGGUGCCGAGCAACAAGUGUGAUUCUAAGGGGGUGCUUCAGGGUCGUCACACGGCGGUGCUCAUUGUGGAUUUAUCGAUUUACCGCGUUGAAACAACAUUCAUAUUUAAACAGAACCAAUUCUUCUCGUUCUACCCACAUGCACGUUUUAUAUUCAGAAAAUUUCCAAAGUGAAGAUAUUUAUUCGAACGAUAUAAUACAACAUUCCUUAUAGAAAA
Long non-coding RNA from Apis mellifera (honey bee), 5208 nucleotides. RefSeq lists it as uncharacterized. The record is from RefSeq and is a predicted model, not a curated record. Lineage: Eukaryota; Metazoa; Arthropoda; Insecta; Hymenoptera; Apidae. The transcript is spliced from 9 exons.